GACGAACGCUGGCGGCGUGCUUAACACAUGCAAGUCAAGGGGGCUCGCAAGAGCAACCGGCGAACGGGUGCGUAACACGUGAGCAACCUGCCUUAGUGUGGGGGAUAGCCGGCCCAACGGCCGGGUAAUACCGCAUACGCUCACCGGGUGGCAUCACCUGGUGAAGAAACUUUCGAGGCACUAAGAGGGGCUCGCGGCCUAUCAGCUUGUUGGUGGGGUAAUGGCCUACCAAGGCACGACGGGUAGCUGGUCUGAGAGGAUGGCCAGCCACAUUGGGACUGAGAUACGGCCCAGACUCCUACGGGAGGCAGCAGUGGGG
RNAcentral lists this ribosomal RNA (319 nucleotides) under uncultured bacterium. RNAcentral describes it as "bacterial SSU rRNA". It matches the Rfam family "Bacterial small subunit ribosomal RNA", at positions 28 to 359 of the family's 1533-position model. The record is from RNAcentral.